This is a long non-coding RNA of Pan paniscus (pygmy chimpanzee), 2384 nucleotides long. Lineage: Eukaryota; Metazoa; Chordata; Mammalia; Primates; Hominidae. The record is from Ensembl.
GUAUACUUAAAAAGUCUACUUUUACUCUAUUUUGAAAGUGAGUUUACUUUCUUUUUUUGUUUUUAAUGAAUAGGACUCAGGAUUUAAAGACAAAAAAGCAUCAUAUUCCAGUGAUUGAUCGAACUCCACUAGAGCCCCCACCAAUAGUGGUAGUGGUGAUGGGGCCUCCAAAGUUGGAAAGAGCACUUUGAUAUAAUGCCUCAUUCAGAACUUCAUUGGCAGAAGUUGACUGAGAUCAGAGGCCCUGUGACGAUUGUGUCAGGUAAAAAGCGCAGACUCACCAUUAUUGAAUAUGGGUGUGACAUUAACAUGAUGAUUGAUCUGGCUAAAGUAGCAGAUCUGGUAAGUCAGCAGGGGCAGCCUGGGGUGCCGAUGGAGACUCACAGCAUUGUGAUAGGUUAUUUACCCCGUGAUGAAGGGAAGAGACUUUUGUGAUUAUUAAAGGAAUCAUCGUCAUCAUCAGAGAUAUAGUAGAUGUGAUUGAAUUGAUGAUAAUAAUAAUAGGAAUAAAUGUUGUCAUAUUAAUAAUACAAAUGGAAUGUGCACAAUGAAAUGUAUUCCAAACUCUAAAAGCAAAUCACAGGAUGGAGAAAACCUUUAAUGAACACAGCUAAUAAGAGCUCAUUUACAUGCAUACAUAUAUAUGUACGAAUAUAUCAUAGUAAGUACCAUUUCUUCUUGGACCCUUCCUGGCACUGUGCUAACUGCUUUCUACAAAUUUAGCUUACAUAAACCCUUGAUACACCCUUGAGGUGAGUAGGUAUUAUCUGUAGUUUACAUAAGAUGAAAUAGAGCCUCCCAGCAGUUAAGUAACUUGUGUGAAGAUGGGACCCUUGUUCCUGAUGGUUCUAGAACCUUCAUCCUUAAUGAUAAUGCUAAAGUAAGUACAUGAAUUGCCUGAAGAAGUGGUCAGAGUUUAUCAAUAGAAAAUUCAGACAGUACUCAGUGUAUGGAAAAUGUACACGCUCUUGCAUUUAUGGAAAUGAUAAUGUUCACUAUUUCUGACAUUCUAUUAACUGUCUUUUAAAUUAGCAAAAAUAAAAUACAAAUUAGCAAAAAAGAAAAAAAAAGUCCAGAUGCAGUGGCUCACACCUGUAAUCCCAGCACUUUGGGAGGCUGAAGUGGGCGGAUCACCUGAGGUUGGGAGUUCGAGACCAGCCUGACCAACAUGCAGAAACCCCGUCUCUACUAAAAAUACAAAAUUAGCCAGGUGAGGUGGCGUAUGCCUAUAAUCCCAGCUACUUAGGAGGCUGAGGCAGGAGAAUCGCUUCAGCCUGGGAGGCGGAGGUUGUGGUGAGCCAAGAUCGCGCCAUUGUACUCCAACCUGGGCAACAAGAGCGAAAUUUCAUCUACAAAAAAAAAAAAAAAAAAAAAAAUUAGCAAAAAAAUAAGCCAUAUUGAUUAGGAAGUGUGAGGUGACAGAUAGCUUGGUUUUUUCAUUUUUAUUUAGUUUUUUCUAGAGCUACAGAUUCUAUACUUUGGCCCAGGGAAACUCCUAAAAUAUAAAGUAAAAAGUAAUACAGAUUUUAAAGUUAUACCAUUGUAAUGUCAGAAAACUAAAUAAUGUUCAAAUUUUGAACAUGUAAUGCUACUAUUAGUAAAAAUAAGUGUUAUUAAUGUAAAGUUGUGUAAAGAUUACUAAAUCUUGUAUACUUGAAAUGAUUGAAAUAGUUCAUAGAAGUCAUUUGUUUCUCUUUUAUUUAAAACGUAGCAAGUUUCUAAUUUUAAAGAUAUACAUAUUAAGAGAUGCCUUUACUUUUUUUAUUUUAGUUGUUAUGGAUACAUAAUAGUUGUACAUAUUUAUGGGGUACACGUAGUAUUUUGAUAGAAGCAUACAAUGUGUGAUGAUCAAAUCAGGGUAAUUCAGAUAUCCGUCGCUUCAAACAUUUAUCAUUUCUUUGUGUUAGGAACAUUUUAAUUUCAUUCUUUUAGUUAUUCUGAAUUAUAUAAUAAAUUAUAGUCACCCUGGUGUGCUGUUGGACACUAGAAUUUAUUCCAGCUGUAUUUUUUUCUUUUUUUUUUAUCAUUAUUAUACUUUAAGUUUUAGGGUACAUGUGCACAAUGUGCCGGUUAGUUACAUAUGUAUACAUGUGCCAUGCUGGUGUGCUGCACCCAUUAACUCGUCAUUUAGCAUUCGGUAUGUCUCCUAAUGCUAUCCCUCCCCCCUUCCCACACCCCACAACAGUCCCCAGAGUGUGAUGUUCCCCUUCCUGCGUCCAUGUGUUCUCAUUGUUCAAUUCCCAUCUAUGAGUGAGAACAUGUGGUGUUUGGUUUUUUUGUCCCUGCAAUAGUUUACUGAGAAUGAUGAUUUCCAAUUUCAUCCAUGUCCCUACAAAGGACAUGAACUCAUCAUUUUUUUAUGGCUGCAUAGUAUUCCAUGGUGU